RNAcentral lists this transfer RNA (82 nucleotides) under Ixodes scapularis (black-legged tick). Its description in RNAcentral is "tRNA-Ser". It matches the Rfam family "tRNA". Rfam says of the family: Transfer RNA (tRNA) molecules are approximately 80 nucleotides in length. Their secondary structure includes four short double-helical elements and three loops (D, anti-codon, and T loops). Further hydrogen bonds mediate the characteristic L-shaped molecular structure. tRNAs have two regions of fundamental functional importance: the anti-codon, which is responsible for specific mRNA codon recognition, and the 3' end, to which the tRNAs corresponding amino acid is attached (by aminoacyl-tRNA synthetases). tRNAs cope with the degeneracy of the genetic code in two manners: having more than one tRNA (with a specific anti-codon) for a particular amino acid; and 'wobble' base-pairing, i.e. permitting non-standard base-pairing at the 3rd anti-codon position. Lineage: Eukaryota; Metazoa; Arthropoda; Arachnida; Ixodida; Ixodidae. The record is from RNAcentral.
GCAGUCGUGGCCGAGUGGUUGAGGCGAAGUACUAGAAAUCCAUUGGGGUCUCCCCGCACAGGUUCGAAUUCUGUGGACUGCG